UACGAAGGGUGCAAGCGUGACUCGGAAUUACUGGGCGUAAAGCGUGCGUAGGUGGUUGUUUAAGUCUGCUGUGAAAGCCCUGGGCUCAACCUGGGAAUUGCAGUGGAUACUGGGCGACUAGAGUGUGGUAGAGGAUAGUGGAAUUUCCGGUGUAGCAGUGAAAUGCGUAGAGAUCGGAAGGAACAUCUGUGGCGAAGGCGACUAUCUGGGCCAACACUGACACUGAGGCACGAAAGCGUGGGGAGCAAACAGG
This 253-nucleotide ribosomal RNA is filed under the name uncultured bacterium. RNAcentral describes it as "partial 16S ribosomal RNA". It matches the Rfam family "Bacterial small subunit ribosomal RNA", at positions 524 to 776 of the family's 1533-position model. The record is from RNAcentral.